This 437-nucleotide ribosomal RNA is filed under the name Lacticaseibacillus rhamnosus. RNAcentral's name for it is "partial 23S ribosomal RNA". It matches the Rfam family "Bacterial large subunit ribosomal RNA", at positions 1241 to 1677 of the family's 2925-position model. The record is from RNAcentral. Lineage: Bacteria; Bacillati; Bacillota; Bacilli; Lactobacillales; Lactobacillaceae.
CUGUAAGCCUGUGAAGGUGAGUUGAGAAGCUUGCUGGAGGUAUCAGAAGUGCGAAUGCUGACAUGAGUAACGACAAUGCGAGUGAAAAACUCGCACGCCGAAAGACCAAGGUUUCCUGCGCAACGUUAAUCGACGCAGGGUUAGUCGGCCCCUAAGGCGAGGCAGAAAUGCGUAGUCGAUGGGAAGCGGGUUAAUAUUCCCGCACUUCUAGUUACUGCGAUGGGGGGACGGAGAAGGCUAGGCCAGCACGGCGUUGGUUGUCCGUGUUUAAGGUGGUAGGCAGAGAUCUUAGGCAAAUCCGGGAUCUUAAUGCCGAGAACUGAUGACGAGUGUCCUUAUGGACGCGAAGUGGUUGAUGCCAUGCUUCCAGGAAAAGCCUCUAAGCUUCAGGUAACUAGGAACCGUACCCCAAACCGACACAGGUGGUUGGGUAGAGA